Non-coding RNA from Equus caballus (horse), 2159 nucleotides. The record is from RefSeq and is a predicted model, not a curated record. NCBI's taxonomy places the organism in Eukaryota, Metazoa, Chordata, Mammalia, Perissodactyla, Equidae.
AUUGUUGACCCUGCAUCAGCUCUCUUAAAUUGACCUAGCAGGGAUGGGAAUCUCACUAAAAAAGAAAAACAAAACAAUGCAAGUCAUAACUGCACCCCUGCUCCAAGGUUACUCUGGGUUCACUUUCCCAUCCACUGGCUUCCUCAUCCUUGCUCUUCUGCUCCCUGACCUGCCAGCAGGUUUGUGACGGGUGUCUUGGCCCCAACUUAUCCUCUAACCUACUGAUUUUGGAACUUUAGUUUUUGGACUGUCUCUUCCUCUUAGAUUUCUGCCUCUUAAAGUGACCAAUUCUAGAACCUCUUUAUUGGUUCCCUGUCCCCACCGCCUCCUGCCUCCUCUCUUCCCCAUGAUGGACACGUCUUCCCCCUGGACCAGCCUCUCCCUGAGUCCUCACCCAUUAGAAAAGAAGGUCAGGAAAUGUGAUAUACCCAUAUAAUGGAACAUUGUCCGGGCACUAAAAUUCAUUUUCAUAAAUAAUUUUAAUGGCACGGGGAAAUGUUCAUAAGUCACUGUGCUUGAGUCAAUGCAAAGACCCAGCCUAAAGGGAACCAAGGAUUGAAAGGGAAGUGACCUGGGCCUCAUCUAGCUCUCUUCACUGUUAAGCAACGUGUGACAGCAAAGCAUAGUAAAGUCAGUUUUCUUUGUUCAUAGGAAUAUGGCCAAAGUUGUGCAAAGAACAUGCAGAACAGAUCUGGGAGGUGUUGAAGGAAAUUAACCGUCUAGAUGUAGAGCUUGUGUGAAUUUCAGAUGUCCCAGGAUACAAAGAGCAGAGGCUGGCAGUGAAAGACCUCGGCUCCCCCACCUGCUCCAGGGAGAGACCAGAGCGACCCCCAGAUUUUAUCACCGCCACCCCCACCCUCACAAAAGGUACAGCUUUGGACCUGAAGGGUUGGGGAAGAAUUGUUCUCCAACUAAAAGAGAGAAAACCCCAAUGCCCCACAGAGCGUGAGAAGGGCAAGAGCAUGAAGCUGACGGAAGGACGAAGACAAACGGCAACAACGCAAACCUGGGCACCACAGACUUUACAGAUGUACACCGCACAGGUCAGCCUCGGCCACACACGUUCAUCAGAUGUGGCCUCAAAAUCAGCUCCCAGCCUACUGCUCUGUGAGCACCAGCGCCCGUGCAGGGGUAGCCAAGAGCCACACUGUCACCUCUCGGAGGAGCCCUCUGCCUCGAGGACUUCUGUGAGCCAUGCCAGUGGGCUCUGGCUCAGCGUUCAUGAUUUUGUCCCUUUUGAAGUCCUCGAGAUUUUAUUCCUUCAGUUUCCGGGAGUUACGUGCCACGGCGAUUUCAGCCCAGUAGCACUUUGGCUGUGACAAAAAGAAGUGACGGGGAGGGCCUGCUGCAUGGGCCGUGUCCGACGCUGCCACCCAGCUCGACUGUUCACACUCGCCGUCAGAGAAUGCGGGGUACAGAUUCUGUCUCCAGGACCCCAGCCCUGUGGCUUUCCUGUCUAAUAAACUGAGAACUCUGACCCGUGUGCUCUUCGCACAUUCUCUACCUGGAAAGGACCCUUGUGGCUGGAGCCAAGUGGACUAACAUGUCUGCAUAGACAAAAGUGUUAUGAUUGGUGACCUAGCUCACUUCUCACCAUUAUGUGACAGACCACCGGCUGACCCACAGCUUUAUUGUUCCGUACACCUCAGCAUCUUUGUCAACACCAUCACUUCAAUGUGUUUUGAACGAGAGUUUUGUUUGUUUGCUGGCUUCCCCCCGCACACACACACACCCUCCUCUCAUGGAAGUAAGAAGCCAGAGAGGAAAUCAGCUGUUUAAACUGAUAAUUAAGUCAUCAAAAUUUCCAGUUUACCAAGAAAAAUCAAAUUUCAGGCAAUAUUAUCUGUACUAGCCCAGAAACUCAAUGUUCAAUCUUCCUGACCCCAAAGAAAUCACAAAAGUCUCCCCUUUUGCUUUUGAGUCUUCCGAUUGGGGCCCAGAUUUUUUCUGUGUCAAUGACACUCUAAAUAUAGGACCUUUGAGUGACUCAGGCCCGGCAGAGGCACGAGAACCUUCAGGCUGGAGCACCAAACCCUCCUCCUGAGCCGGUCUUUGAAAGCACCCAAAGUGCCUCAAAAUAUAAUGAGGGCAGGAACAGAAAAACGCUCUCAAAUGAAAAUUAAUUUUAAUUGACUUUAAUUAAAUGCCUUUUAGCACUU